Long non-coding RNA from Patiria miniata (bat star), 1276 nucleotides. RefSeq lists it as uncharacterized. The transcript has 2 exons. NCBI's taxonomy places the organism in Eukaryota, Metazoa, Echinodermata, Asteroidea, Valvatida, Asterinidae. The record is from RefSeq and is a predicted model, not a curated record.
ACUACAUCAAAGCAUUAGCCCUGAACACAACCAACCACACAGACGUUUUGAUCCAGCAACCUUCACAGGACACAAUUCAAGUUGACAUCAUCGGUCUUGAGAAGGAAGGUGACUCCAUCAAAGUAGGCCGACUUUAUUAUGGAAGAAGAGGUCGCAACAGAAACAUGGGAACGACUUCGGACAUCAACACCACCAUGUUGUCUCUUCAGGAAAUAUCAACUUACAUGUAUGAGUUGAUAGUGCAAGGCGACCAGAUUCAUCGGAAAUACCCUUGAACUGCCUAAGUAUUAAGUAUUAACUGUAAAGAAAAAUACAUUCAAAUGGAGACAUUUAAUAGUAUUUUAUUUAACAUUUUCAGUAUACAUGUAUUAUUAGCCAACUUGGUAUUUGAAAACUGCUCAAUUGAACAAUAGGCACAAACAUAUAGGCACAUGCCUAUUUCUAAAACCAAUCCAACUGAAUCAUUAGAGAAUGUCACAUUUUUAGUUAGCAAAUCUUCACUCCUGGGGCAGUAGAAAUAGUGCUAAAAGUAAUUUUCUUUUAGAUUUUUAGUAUAUUAUUAGCCAACUUAGGGUUAGAAAUCUUUAUUUUAUUUUUUAAUCUUUUUAUUUUUAGUCACAUAUAAUACAGCAUAUUUGGUAGACAACUUCAUGUUUGUAAUUUUUUUUUGAUCAUUUUGAUUUGCGGUAACAACUAGUAAUAACUACCAUCACUCAGAUGAUGUACUUUUGCUAAGUAGUGGUACUUUCGCUUAGUAGUUUUAAGUUCUGAUAAGAACUCCGCGUACAAUAGGUUCGCGCACUUCGCGAACGCAGCGGCUGUGGCACAUUAGCAUAGUUUUAGCAUAACAAAGACGCAUUGUCAUGCAAUGCAAAUGAACCUGGAGAGCUUGAUGUUUACUCUUAACUUGGGAUCACAAUUAGUUCGCGAAUCUUCGCUGACUUCGUGAACAGUCAUUUUUUAAGCCUGCCCCAAGGCAGAAUUAAUGCACUUGAGGUUUUCCGGCAAGAUUUUAAAAUGUACAUGUAGGUAUGUGUUUUCUGAAUGGUUUGGAAAUCUAAACAUUAAUUUCUUUUGUUUUCCUGACACCAUAUGCUCCCUAUAAAUGACGUGUAGUCAAUUUUCCCAAGAAAUAUCAUAACUAAACUCAUAAGACGUGGUUUUAUUCAUGAAGUACCCAUGAACUGCAUCCGAGUACAUUGUAUUGUUCAAGAACUGUUCAUGAAAUGUGUCCUUAUUUAUUAAAUUGACAUUUAAUGAAUUAAUUUCAUCAAAA